AAAUUGAAGAGUUUGAUCAUGGCUCAGAUUGAACGCUGGCGGCAGGCCUAACACAUGCAAGUCGAACGGUAACAGGAAGCAGCUUGCUGCUUUGCUGACGAGUGGCGGACGGGUGAGUAAUGUCUGGGAAACUGCCCGAUGGAGGGGGAUAACUACUGGAAACGGUAGCUAAUACCGCAUAACGUCGCA
RNAcentral lists this ribosomal RNA (189 nucleotides) under Escherichia coli. Its description in RNAcentral is "partial 16S ribosomal RNA". It matches the Rfam family "Bacterial small subunit ribosomal RNA", at positions 1 to 183 of the family's 1533-position model. Lineage: Bacteria; Pseudomonadati; Pseudomonadota; Gammaproteobacteria; Enterobacterales; Enterobacteriaceae. The record is from RNAcentral.